RNAcentral lists this ribosomal RNA (463 nucleotides) under uncultured bacterium. RNAcentral's name for it is "partial 16S ribosomal RNA". It matches the Rfam family "Bacterial small subunit ribosomal RNA", at positions 28 to 507 of the family's 1533-position model. The record is from RNAcentral.
GACGAACGCUGGCGGCGUGCUUAACACAUGCAAGUCGAACGGAAAGGCCUUUUCGGAGGUACUCGAGUGGCGAACGGGUGAGUAACACGUGGGUGAUCUGCCCUGCACUCUGGGAUAAGCCUGGGAAACUGGGUCUAAUACCGGAUAGGACCGCACUUUAGUGUGUGUGGUGGAAAGUUUUUUCGGUGUAGGAUGAGCCCGCGGCCUAUCAGCUUGUUGGUGGGGUAAUGGCCUACCAAGGCGGCGACGUGUAGCCGGACUGAGAGGUUGGUCGGACACAUUGGGACUGAGAUACGGCCCAGACUCCUACGGGAGGAAGCAGUGGGGAAUAUUGCACAAUGGGCGCAAGCCUGAUGCAGCGACGCCGCGUGGGGGAUGACGGCCUUCGGGUUGUAAACUCCUUUCGCCAGGGACGAAGCGUUUUGUGACGGUACCUGGAGAAGAAGCACCGGCUAACUACGUG